This 498-nucleotide ribosomal RNA is filed under the name uncultured bacterium. Its description in RNAcentral is "partial 16S ribosomal RNA". It matches the Rfam family "Bacterial small subunit ribosomal RNA", at positions 30 to 523 of the family's 1533-position model. The record is from RNAcentral.
AUUGAACGCUGGCGGCAUGCCUUACACAUGCAAGUCGAACGGUAACAGGUCUUCGGAUGCUGACGAGUGGCGAACGGGUGAGUAAUACAUCGGACCGUGCCUAGUAGUGGGGGAUAACUACUCGAAAGAGUGGCUAAUACCGCAUGAGAUCUACGGAUGAAAGCAGGGGAUCGCAAGACCUUGUGCUACUAGAGCGGCCGAUGGCAGAGUAGGUAGUUGGUGGGGUAAAAGCUUACCAAGCCGACGAUCUGAAGCUGGUCUGAGAGGACGAUCAGCCACACUGGGACUGUGACACGGGCCAGACUGCUACGGGAGGCAGCAGUGGGUAAUUCUGUAAACUGGGCGAAAGGCUGAUGCAGCAAUGCCGCGUGCAGUACGAAGGCCUUCGGGUUGUAAACUGCUUUUGUACGGAACGGAAAGCCCCGGGUUAAUACCCUGGGGUCAUGACGGUACCGUAAGAAUAAGCACCGGCUAACUACGUGCCAGCCGCCGCGGUAA